RNAcentral lists this long non-coding RNA (2029 nucleotides) under Anthonomus grandis grandis. RNAcentral's name for it is "uncharacterized LOC126740761". Lineage: Eukaryota; Metazoa; Arthropoda; Insecta; Coleoptera; Curculionidae. The record is from RNAcentral.
AUGCAGCAAAAUCCAUAACAAGAAGAAAAGAAGAAGAGCAUCUUUUGACAGAUGACAUAAUGUGUGCAUGUUUUUGUCAAAUGUAAUGUCAAGUCAAGUAAUAUCUUAUUGGUUAUUGUCUAGUGUAUAGUCUUUGUCUUCUAUGGCCUAUGAUUAUUGGUUAUAGUACGUCGUGUUUUUUUUGUGGUCUCUGGUCUCAAAAAUCUACUUUUAGUUUUGGUUUUGUGCAAAAAACGUGUAAAUAGUAAAUUCUGUUUCGCGAGUCGUGAGUGCGCGAGUUUUGCAAAAUACUAAAAUGGCACCACCCAGAAGUAACAUUUGGCUACAUUUCACAAAAAUUUCAAAGGAGCAAGCUCGAUGCAAUAUAUGCUCAAAAAUCUUAAUAAAGACCUCAGGGAAUACCACUAAUCUUAACAGUCAUUUUAAGCAGAAGCAUUCGGAUUUAAACAAAGGCAAGGAUGGUGAGUAUGGUGACGGUGACGGAAGUGCAAAGUCCUCGGCAAAAUCUAAAGAUAAAGACGCAAGUGAAAACGAACCAAUUCCUGGGGGUUCUGGAAUAUGAGGACAUAGGGCCGGUUGUAUAAAUCAAUUUUGAUCUUAGGUUCGGCGGAACGCCGAUCAAAAUGUGAACUGCGUUCAUUCGAUAUUCUGUUGUUCAAUGUAAACUGAACUUUAGUUCAGCUGAACUGAGGUUAGUUUAGGUUGGCACUACAAAUAUUUAGUUACUUUUGGUUUUUUUAAAUUUUUGACAUUUAACAUAACCUAAAAGGAAAGGUUUGUUUUGUUUUUGUUUGAUUUGGCGGGCUGGGUUGCUUGCAAGUAAAAAAAAAAGUAAAAGCAGUAAAAGUUUAUAAAAAGUGUAUUUUCUACUUGGUGUGGCUGGUACUACUAAUUAAACUUGAUUUUAUAUACCUAUACGUAAGUACAAAUUGACAUUUUUGCAAGCCGUUAAAUACUUUCGAAUUUUAUUGUAGUAGGUAUUGCUUUUAUUUUAUUGGGUACAGUGUUUGGUUUUUGUAUUUAUUAUUUGUAGAUUCUUGUUUGGUGGUGGAAUAUUUUAUAAAUGGAUUCUUGUAAGAAAAGAACUGUUAAUUUCAGUAAAAAGGAGGUUGGCAUAUUAAUGAGCCUUGUACUAAAAUAUAAGGGCACAAUUGAAUGUCGAAAGACUGACAAAAUGAACAACGAUUUAAAGCAGAAAGCUUGGGAGCGUCUAUCAAAUGAAUUUAAUAGCAUUUAUGGAGAGCCUUUCAGAGAUGCAAAAGUUCUUCGUGGCAAGUAUGAAAAUCAAAAAAAAAGGUCAAAACAAAAAUUUGCUGAUGAAAAAACAUACCUACGAGGAACUGGAGGAGGGCCUGUAAAACCUAAGAUAAUUGACGAUAUCGACAAACAAGUUAAAGAAAUUAUAGGUACUCAGAUGACAGGCUUUGAUUCAGAAUUUGAUGGAGAUAGUAAAUAUGGCAACAUGCAGAUGAAAACUCCUGAGGGAUCUCGUUUUAAUAUUUCUGAUUCAGAGUUACCUAAUGAAGACAUAGAGCAAAUGGAGGAAGAUGGCAAAGAUUCCAAUGAGGAAGAUAGUUUAUUGUCAGGUAUAGGUAAACGCUAUCCCUAUACUUAUGUUUCAAUUAUUAGUAUUAAUAAACAAUAUGUUUAGAUGACACUUUCUUCUAUUCUGACUAUUCUUAUUUUAGCUGCUUUACCUACCAACUGGAACAAAAUAACCCCAGAAAAGCUUCGCACUCCAAAAUCGAAGCCAUUGAAAACCAUUUUGAAGAAGUCUUGUGCUAAUAAGGAAAAUAAAAAUGUUCUGUCAAAUAAAAUUAUUUCCUGGGCUGCAAAUAAAGCUGAAUUAGUCUCCAAGGAGACAGAAUACCUUGAAAAAGAACAUCUUUUGAGAGUAGAAAUGAUGAAGGAACGCCACAAACAUCAAAUGGCACUAGAAACAAAGCAGAUUGAUAAAAGAAUUCUUAUUCAAGCUAAGAAAGCUGAACUAGAGCUGGAGAUCCUUCAACUGAAAAAAGAUCAGCUGCUA